Molecule: long non-coding RNA, 35860 nt
Filed under: Vitis vinifera (wine grape)
Lineage: Eukaryota; Viridiplantae; Streptophyta; Magnoliopsida; Vitales; Vitaceae
Description: long non-coding RNA (VVIN_LNC002041)
Source: RNAcentral
UCAUUUUCACUCCCUAUGAUUUGGUUGCAAUUUGGGGAGGAAGAAAAAAAAAGAGGAGAACGAAGGUAGAUGAGGACUUGGAUAGGGUUUUGAAAUGAAAUGAUACUUUUACUCUCACUUAAAUAGGUCACGUGAAUAACACUAACACAUGCAUCUUCGGUCCAAUUAAGGUAAUACUGUCACUUAAAAAAUGCAUAUUACAUGUAAUUAUAAAAUAUGAAAGGUACAUUGUUCGAUUGUAAAUUCAAUGAGAUAAUAUAUAAAAUAUGCUAUAAGUUAGAGGGAUAAAGUAUAAUAAACCCUAUAUACAUAAACAACAGAGUUUUAUUUAUAUUUGCUAAAUUAAUUGAAUUCUAAGUCAAUAUAAAAUUUUCCGAGUAAUUCAAGAUUUUAAAGAUUCAAUAUUGUUUUAUAAACUUGGAAGGAAGGGUUCCAAGAAUUUUCCACUCUUUUAAAUGGUCAAAAAAACAUGUAGGUACGCAAUUAAAUCAUCUUUCUUCCAUGCUAAAAAAAUAAUAAAUAUAUAUUGUAAGUUUUAAAUUAAAGUAUUAUUUAAGAAUUCGGUAAUAAACUCAAUCAUAUGGUUAUACCAAAAUCAAAAUAUUAAAAAUAUUUUAGGUAAAAAAAAAGGGAAAAUAUAUUUAAUAAUCAAAUAAUAGAAAAUAAUUUUUUAUUUUUAAAAUAGAAAAUAUAAUAUUUUUUAAAAAUAUAUUUUUUUAUUAUUUUUACUCGUUUUUAAAAAAUAAUUAUAUAAAUAUGAGGAAAGAUUAAAAAUAAAAUAUUAUAUGUAAAAAUUAUUUUUAAAACAAAUUUUAAAAUAUAAAAAAUAAGUUAAAAAUAGGAUUAUCGUGGGCCAUUAACAAACCUAGACUAAGUAGGCCAUGGGUGUCUUGACGAUUUUUGCUGCAUUUUUGGUGUUUGAUUUCUUUAUUCAAUAUGAUCACCCAAACACAGAUAUAUAUAUAUAUAUAUAUAUAUAUAUAUAUAUCAAUUCAUUUAAAACAUACCUUCUUCUAUUUUGGAACAUAUCUGAGUCCAUUAUUUCUCGAGAUGGAUAAGGUAUGGAUCUUUUAAGGCUAUAGAGGGCACCACAUUUCUCUGUAUUUCUAAUUCAAAAGAUGUGAUCUCAAGAACCAAUACUUAGUCUUAUAUUUAUACCCUCUAUGCCUUAAAAGACCAUACCCUUUGGACUAUUGGGCAUCGCGAGUCUUAGGCCCAUCAUCUAAGACCCGUUAUAUAUCUGGGCUUUAUACAUGAGGUGACGCAUACUCUAGAUCAAAUAGAAAUCAUAUAUAUAUAUAUAUGGAUAGCUAAAUCCUGAACGAUGCCCUUUUAGAGGAUCGAGCUCUGCUUUUUUAUAAUUAAAAUUGAUUUGUAGCGGUGAGAAAAGUUAAGGCUGUGUUUGUUUUCUAAUGUAAAAAUGCAUUUUGAAGUAUGGGAAAUUUGAGGGUCAUAAACCAUAUUGGUUUAAGAUUGCAAUGCUCGUCGGCAACUGAACCCAUACGUACAUACAAUCACCCCGACCCCGACUCCGACCACUUCAUAUUGAAACUGGCCUCGAGGCUCGAGCCUCCCUUCCUAACAGUGAAACCUACCAGCAAGUCAACAAAAUGUGAAUGCAGUAGAGGCAAGGAGAGCAAAAUCUGCUCAAUCAUAAAGGGUGUUUGUUGAGAGAGAUGAUGGGCAUAGGCCUCUAGCUGUUCCUUUAGCUUAUUAUAUAUAGUCGGGUGGUUGGAAAUCUUAGUGGCUAUGAAAUCUGAGGACAGACUAUUCAUGUCAGUGACUUAGAAAUAAUUAUCUCCAAAUUUGGCAGUUUAUGCAUGAAGCAUACUAUAUAUUUAAUAUCUAAAACCCAGCUUUGAGAAACUUCAUGUGCCACGAAAUUUCUCAUUUACUACAUGACAGUGAUGACACAACCCACAAUGGGGAGGGAAACUUCUGACUUCUGAGAAUAAUCAGACUUUCUCAAGGACAGUUUGUCUCCACUUCACCCCCACCUUCCAUGGAAAUUUCCUCCUAUGCUUACCAUCUUCACCCAACUUGUGGUAACGAAAAAAUAAAAUAAAAAAAUUAGAAAGGAAAUUUUUUUAUCAUAUUUAGUUUUUCCACUAGAAAUAUAAAAAAUAAAUUAAUUAAAAUUUUAUAUAUUUUAAAUUAUUUAAUUAGUUAAAAUAAGUGAAAUGCGCUUCAAAUUUGAUAUAAAUUAGAUUUAUUUAUUUAUUUUAUUUGCCAUUAAAUUAAAUCUAAAUCAAUUUUUAAUCAAUGAAUCUAUGUUGAUCAUGUUAAACUUAAAAGUAAUUGUAUCCAGCUACUUUUCGAACGUUACAAUUUAUUUUUUAAUACGUAACCAUGUGAAAUUUUUAUUUUUUAUCUGGAUAGGCUUUUGGACCCCUUUCAAAUGGAUGGGCCACAAUUGAAAAUGGGCCGGAUCGGAAAGAUGUGGUCGCCCAAAGGAAUCGAGGUCCAUAACGGUUGCUUCCUGACAAAGCGAAGGCGCAUGUUCUCAACCACGAUUCGUGUCGCCGAAUCAACGAACAAUUAUGGGCUAAUAGAUCAUAAAGGAAACAAAUGCUAAGGUGACAAGAAUGUCCUCGACUUGGCGCCAUUCUUGUUUCAACCAAAUCUAGCGAGGAGGACAUAUCUGUAUUUUCAGUUUAUAAGUUAUCUUCUCCUCCGUUUGGUUAUGAUAUUUUUGUAGUCACCCCAUAAUCUUUUGAAAUUGCAACUAGGCCCUUUCAUGGCGACUCUCACCGCCGUGUCUUCUGCUUCAUGGCCAAACCCUAACCCUAGUCCUAAUUCGACCUUUCUCUCUCAGCAGAGCCACCCCGAGCAGUAUCCGGCGGUUCAGGAUCCCACUGCAAUGCGUCAGCAUCAGGGAACCGGCCUCUCCGGAGAUGGAGGCGAGGAUGAAUCAUUUUCUUCUUCUCCAAAUCAUCACACUGUUCAAAGCCCUAAUUCUAAUCUUCGUGAAGUUGUAUCUUAUUCGACAUCCUCUAUACCGUCUCUUCUCCAUAUUUCCUUCAAUCAGGACCACGGUUGCUUCGCCGCGGGCACGGAUAACGGCUUCCGGAUCUAUAAUUGCGACCCGUUCCGCGAGAUUUUCCGGCGAGACUUCGACCGCGGCGGAGGAAUUGGCGUCGUGGAGAUGCUAUUCCGGUGCAACAUCCUGGCCCUGGUUGGCGGCGGACCUGAGCCGCAGUAUCCGCUCAACAAAGUCAUGAUUUGGGAUGAUCACCAAAGCCGGUGCAUUGGAGAGCUGUCAUUCCGAUCGGAGGUCCGAGCAGUUAAGCUCCGGCGGGACCGUAUCAUAGUGGUCUUGGAACAGAAGAUUUUCUUGUACAACUUCGCGGACUUGAAGCUGUUACAUCAGAUUGAGACGAUUGCAAAUCCCAGGGGGCUUUGCGCGGUUUCGCAGCUCACUGCGUCGCUUGUGUUGGUGUGUCCAGGGUUGCAGAAGGGGCAGGUCAGGGUCGAGCAUUACGCUUCGAGGAGGACCAAGUUCUUCGCGGCCCAUGAUUCUAGACUUGCGUGUUUCGCGCUCACUACGGACGGCCAAUUGCUCGCCACUGCAAGCACCAAAGGAACUCUGGUUAGAAUUUUCAAUACUUCCGAUGGCACACGGCUGCAAGAGGUACAUUAUAUGCCCUUUUUCAGUUCUGCGCUUUGAGGAGUGAACUUGAAAUUUUGAUGAUUCUGUAAAUGGGCCAUAGGCUAUUGAUAUUUUGAUGUUUCUCUAUUAGGGUUAUUAUAAAAGUAGUAUUCCCAAUUUCCCGAUUUUAGGUUUCUUGUUGAAAUAGAUUGUGAAGUAUAAUUCAUUUAGCCAUGUCCCUUCUUUUUCCUCUACUUCUUGUGGAGACCACAGCAGGCACAGUUGACGUACAACCUCAAUUUGGAUAGCUGUUGUUGUUAGCAAACAGUUCAAAGUGUGACUGGUUUUUGUAGUUAUCAUGCUAGGAUCACCUUCAAUCUCAAUUGAGAACAACGGAAAAUGUCUUCACACAAUAAUAACCUGCCGUGUAAGUAUCGAUUGAAGGUUAAUCCUUUCUGGGAUUCAUAGCCAUAAAUGAAGCUUGAAUAGUACUCUGCGUUGCAAGAAACAAGUAUAAAUGAACUUCCUUUGUCUACUUGUGGAUUAAUCUAAUGAACCAAUUUUUCUGAACUGCAGAGGAGCUCUUGUUUAUGUUAGAAACUCAUAUUACUUGCUAUUCGAUACUUAUUCUACCAUUCAUCUUUCUGCAAGAAUUUGACAUGUAUCAUAGAUUUAAAUUAAUUGAAUAUCUAAUGUAGGUGCGGCGGGGAGCAGAUAGAGCUGAGGUUUACAGUAUGGCAUUCUCUUCAACUGCCCAGUGGCUAGCAGUAUCAAGUGACAAGGGCACUGUCCAUGUUUUUGGGCUUAAGGUUAACUCAGGAUCCUUAGGAAAUGACAAGUCCCAUGGUGCAUCUGAUGCCAAUCUUGCUGUUGCAUCAUCCGGCUUAUCUCUUUCUUUCAUCAAGGGUAAGGUGCCUUUUCUAGAAUAUGACUUGAGGCUGACCAUUUUUCUUGAUUUUGAAUAAACAGGUCAAUUGAGUUAUAAAUAUGUGAGGUUGGGAGGCUAAUUAUACCGACUCAAGCAAAAUGCCAAACUCUAUUAAAUGGGUUGCACAAGGCUGUAUGAUAAUUAGGUUGUGUUUAAUUUCAUUGUUUUAACCUAAUUAUCAUUCAUGUCAUGUUUUUCUUAUGUCGAAUAACUAGUUUUGACACAACAUGAACAUGAUCUAGUAACACGAAUUGACACCCCUGGCUAUUAUGUGAAUAUGCAUACGCAAAGUUAAAAUAGGCUUCACUGCUUGAUCUCCAUGGUUCCAAGACCACAUAUUGGAUGGAACUUUAAUAAUACAGUUUUGUUUUUGAUAAGCAAAACUGUAUUAUCAUCGGGCCUUGUAUGUGUACUCUUGAAUGCAACUGUAUCCACUUCUCUCCUUUUGAAUGCAACUGCUUUCUCUUGGUUCCUGUUACUGGAUGGUGCUUACUAGAGUAUCAACUAAUGGAAGUGAAGAAUAGGAGAGAUUAGGCCAUGGGGUUCAGGAUUCUAUUUAUUUAUUUAUCAGUUUUUGGAUAAUCAUCAUGGGCAUGUCUAUUGCGUUUCUUAUUGAACAGAAGCUUUGAAGUUCUAUCCUUUUGAUUCUAAUUCUGACUAGGUUUUCAUGUGCAGGAGUGCUGCCCAAGUAUUUCAGCUCUGAGUGGUCGGUUGCUCAGUUCCGCCUUCAUGAGGGUUCUCAGUAUAUUGUUGCAUUUGGUCAUCAGAAGAACACAGUGGUAAUUCUGGGAAUGGAUGGAAGGUAAGAGAUAUUCUUAACAGAAGUUUGUGAGAAGAGUUGAUCUGAAAUGGAAUCAUGAUAAGCAAUUGAAUUGAAUUUGAAUGCAGCUUCUAUAGAUGUCAGUUCGAUCCUGUGACUGGGGGAGAGAUGACACAGCUGGAGUAUCACAACUUCCUUAAACCAGAAGAAGCUUUCUAAUGGAGAUCUAGGAUAUUAUCUGCAUGCCCAAUUUCCUAGCUAUAUAUGACAUCCCUCUCUCUCUGGGUCUUUGUGCCCUUUGUCCCCUUUUCCCCUUCUAGGUGUGGCCUAUGGGUCCAUUAUGGUGUAAAUAUACGAGUAUAGAUAGGUCAAAGUUUAAGACUAAUUUACCAUUAACAAGGAAAAAUGAAAUUUAAUGAAAAAAAAAAAAAAGAAGAGAGAUUAGUACUCAUUUUUCAUACUUGUCUUCAUAUUUGCCAUUGUGUGGACGGGUUUAUUUGGACAACCUUUUUUUAUAAUUUAGAUUACCAACCUUCCUUAUUUAAUAUCAACCAAAAAAAUAUUUUAUACAAUAUUCUUUAUAAAAAACGAGACUUUUCUAUAAUCUUGAGGCAAAUUCCAUUAUACCAUAAAUGGAAUUUGCCUAUUUAUCAUGCCUAUAUCUAUGAAUGAGAAAAAUCAUUUCAUUAUACCAUAAAAUCAAAUGCAAUUAUCAAAACACCUAAUGUUUCUCCACUUCUUAUAUCCACCGUAAACUAUGAGCCUCCUACUCUACUUGGUAUAUCUUUAUCCAAUUUAAAUAGUUUUUAAAUAUUAAUCUUUAUUCCAUAAUUUUUUCCUCCCCUAACCUAAAAUAUUUAUAAUGAUAUUCUUAACAAUUUUUUUAUUAUAUAUAAUAAAAUCUAAUAUUACAAUAAUAUAUUAAAAGUCCUCACUCCAUCACAAUACUUAAUUUUUUUCUAAGCAAUUAAUUCUCUAUUCUUUCGAUUUUUUUGCUUUUAACUACCAUUGGGCAAUUACAUUUUUAAAUAUAAAUUUCAAAGUACACGUUUAUUAGAAUCCUGUUAAGAAAUACAAAACAUGUUGUGGACCCCGCGUUUCGAUCUAUCUCAAUGCGUUUCCCACUCAAUGGCGAGCUCGAUUUUUAUUUUAUUAGAAAAAAUGAUUUUUAUCGAUUAAGAAAAUGACUUGGAGUCGCCACUUAUUUUUGUUUUAUUAUUAAAGGGUAAACAAAAUAAGAAAGAAAAACCCUAAGUGUGACUCCUUAUUUUGGAAAAGGCGGUCUGUGAAAAACCGGAUCGGGUUCGGGGGUCAGGUUACUUCUCGGGAAGGUAUGGUAAAGACCGUAGCACCCCUCUAAGUCCCUAAAGUCGGGUCUCUACUAAUAAAAUGAAGCUGACAUGACAACCAAUGAGAAAGUCAAUGAAUACCUAGGACGAAUCAUGCACAUACGAGAAUUAAAACAUGCAAAUAAAAUGAUUAGGAUGCGAGUGGAUGUGUACCUGGACCGUGAACGAUCAAUGCGCUAUCAUAAAACAGGGUUAGUGAGCAAUGAACAAAAUAUAAUUAAGCGCAUAACAUGGAACAAAAUAAAUCAAACACGCACGAUAAGUAAAUCAAUCAAACAAUCAAUCAAUCGUCAAUUCACAUAUGUGGGGCCCCCACCAAAGCCCGUUUAUUUUUGCAUGAAUUAAUUCCAUAAUUUCCAUUAUUCGGAGUUACAGAAUUGAAUCUAUGCUUAUUUUUAAAACAUUUUAAAAGAUCAUGAAAGAUUUAAAAAAAUUGCUUGCCGAAUAGAAAAUGGAAGCAAAUUUUAUUAAAAAGAGAUUUCAAGUGAUUCUAAAAAAAAACCUAAAGGUGAAAAUUAAAAAUAAAUAAAUAAAUAAAUUAUUUGAUAAAAAUGGAGUUUGGAAAAUUAACAAAGAAACUAGAAAUCGGGAAAUUAUGUGGAAAAUGGGAGUUUUAGGACUUAAAAAUAAAUCUAAAGAUGAAAAUUCGAAAAGCAAAAAUUGUUUGAAGGAUUUGGAAAUUUGACAUUAUAAAAAAAAAACAAUUGGAGGGAUUAUUAAUAAAAUGAUGUUCAGGAAAAUUAAUUUGGAAAUCAUAGGAACAGGAAGUGGGUGAUAACACGUGGCUUCCGAUUUACUGCCAUUGCCACUAUACCCACCAUAGUCACCAAGCCCAUAGUCAAUGCCUCCAAGUGCUCGGUAGGAAAUAGGCCCAAAACACUAAGACGUGCCCCAGAGUUAGAGAAGAUGCUGGAGAGAUCUUUGAUCAAGCCACUUCACCAGAUUUAUGGCGAUAGAUCUUUCCGAAGACAUGAAGAACGGUGACAAAGCCGAUAAAGCAAAGGUUCAUCACGAGAACCACCGUUGGAGUAAUCUUCAAGCCCGGAUCGUCAUCGGUGUAGAACAAGAGCAUGUUGCUCUCGCUGCUGCCACUGCCGCACCCUCCGGAGCUCUGAAACGACAGUGCGUGUGAGGAGAUUGACAACGACGCCGUCGAAGACAACCGGUCUACAUAACCCUCCAACAAGCUUCGUCCUGAAGCUACUUCUGCCGCGGUGCUUUCCACAUGUCGUCCAUACAUCCAGUGACCCGAAUCAGCGCCACCUCGUCCUCAACUCCAACGCAGCUGAAUCUCACGCUGCUGUCCAGUUUGACCUGCGUCGGAAAGAACGACGUUGGGGGCCACGCAGGCAUCGACGGUGAUCUUCGGGAGCCACUGCCCCAGGGGAAUUAUCCUUCUCCGUCCUUUUUUUGAGCCUUCAACACUUUCUACAGCAAAAGUCUCCUCAACUUUUGAUGGCCCCCACAUGUACCAGUUGAGGCUAUUUUAUGAAUUUCNNNNNNNNNNNNNNNNNNNNNNNNNNNNNNNNNNNNNNNNNNNNNNNNNNNNNNNNNNNNNNNNNNNNNNNNNNNNNNNNNNNNNNNNNNNNNNNNNNNNAUUCAAAACAAGAUGUCCAAUACUCCAAAAGAACACCAAAAAAACAGAGAAGAAAGUGAAGAAAACAGAGUGCGUGCAAGAGAUGAUAAUACCAUUAAACCAAACUUUACUUCAUGAAGAUCGGAGAGCUUAAAACAAUCUGGUGGGUUAAGUGAAUGGUUUUAACACAUAAACAAACAACAUCGACACCAUGUGACUCACACAGGAAUAAACAAAAAUCAAGCAAGCAGGGAUGAAAACAUGCUUAAGAUCUUAAACAGUCAAAAUGAACAUUUCAAAUAUUAGGAAAGGAGUCAAAUAUGGUUGUGAAAAGGAAAAACCUGAAGUCGAAGACAACCAAAAUUUGGAUGACUCCUUUUCUCUCUGUGACUGAAAUCCCACCUUCUCGUUCUACUCCCUGAGCUGAGAACUCUCCUCUCAACUCCAAACUCACUCCAGACCAGCCUCUCUUCACUCUCCCCCUCCUCUCUGACUCUCUCUCUCUAGCUAAACUCCUCUAAGCCUUCCCUCCUCCUCAAAAUAUCUCUAACGGACUCUGAAAAGCACUCCCUACUCCAGCUGCCAGAGACGCUCCUCCAUUCACGGCUUCCAGAUUCCCAUGCAACGUGUCCCCUUUUGAUUGGCUUCCCAAACCACUAUUAUGAUUCUCUCAUGGCUUCUCAGGUGUUGACACGUGGCUGACCAAGGCUCUUCCACAUGGUAAAAUUGAGCUGCAAGGUAGGAAUGACCUAAAAGGGGGUCUACAAAUAUGCCCCUCUUCGGUAGAGUUCACGAGUGUAAAGAACAUGAACACUGGAGUGAAAAGUAAGUGUGAAUAGUGAGUGGAAUGAAGUGAACUCUACCGAAGAACCAAGGAGACCCCCAUAGAGACACUAGUGAGAUAUAAACUCACUCAGACUAACAGAUAAACAACGAGGCUCUAAUCCUAAAAGGAAAUGAUGUCUCAAAAAUGCCUCUGCAGCCACACUAAGGAUCCAAGCUCCCUCUAAGACGUCUCCAAAAGUGACUCGAAGAUCAAUGUCAAAGAUGAGUAACAGUCGAACCACCCUAGAGUACAAGAAAGAAUGUGCCCGAAGGAAACUACCCUAUGUGAACUACAUGAGAAGACUAGGUGUAGGGUGCCCAACAACAUGACAAAAAUACGCAUCACGGAAUCAAAGAACUAUGUCAUGUGCAAUGGAAUGGGAAGUCUAGAAGAGCAAUGACGAUCAAGCAAUGAGCUCCAGGUAACUGAGUGAGGAAAAUGACUCUGAAAAACCAAAAUGGAGGAAUAAUGGCGACUCAGAAUGCAAAGAAGACUCAACUAUGCAGGUGUGACUCGAAGGUGAACAAGACUCAACUCAAUCCGACAAAACAAUGACCGAUCGAUAUAGGUGCGGUCCCGACUCAAACUGAACUGAUAGGAAGAUGGUCGAUCGAUAUAGGUGCGGCCCAGACUCAAACUGACGUGAUGAAUGACCGAUCGAUAUAGGUGCGGUCCCGACUCGAACUGAACUGAUAGGAAGAUGGCCGAUCGAUAUAGGUGCGGCCCCGACUCAAACUGACAUGAUGAAUGACCGAUCGAUAUAGGUGCGGUCCCGACUCGAACUGAACUGAUAGGAAGAUGGCCGAUCGAUAUAGGUGCGGCCCCGACUCAAACUGACAUGAUGAAUGACCGAUCGAUAUAGGUGCGGUCCCGACUCUAACUGAACUGAUAGGAAGAUGGCCGAUCGAUAUAGGUGCGGCCCCGACUCAAACUGACAUGAUGAAUGACCGAUCGAUAUAGGUGCGGUCCCGAAACUAAACUGAUAGAAAGAUGGCCGAUCGAUAUAGGUGCGGCCCCGACUCAAACUGACAUGAUGAAUGGCCGAUCGAUAUAGGUGCGGUCCCAGAAACUAAACUGAUAGGAAGAUGGCCGAUCGAUAUAGGUGCGGCCCCGACUCAAACUGACAUGAUGAAUGACCGAUCGAUAUAGGUGCGGUCCCAGAAACUAAACUGAUAGGAUGAAUGACCGAUCGAUAUAGGUGCGGUCCCAGAAACUAAACUGAUAGGAUGAAUGACCGAUCGAUAUAGGUGCGGUCCCAGAAACUAAACUGAUAGGAUGAAUGACCGAUCGAUAUAGGUGCGGUCCCAGAAACUAAACUGAUAGGAAGAUGGCCGAUCGAUAUAGGUGCGGCCCCGACUCGAACUGAACUAAUAGGAAGAUGGCCGAUCGAUAUAGGUGCGGCCCCGACUCAAACUGACAUGAUGAAUGACCGAUCGAUAUAGGUGCGGUCCCAGAAACUAAACUGAUAGGAUGAAUGACCGAUUGAUAUAGGUGCGGUCCCAGAAACUAAACUGAUAGGAAGAUGGCCGAUCGAUAUAGGUGCGGCCCCGACUCAAACUGACAUGAUGAAUGACCGAUCGAUAUAGGUGCGGUCCUAGAAACUGAACUGAUACGAAGAUGGCCGAUCGAUAUAGGUGCGGCCCCGGAUUCUAACUGAACUGAUAGGAAGAUGGCCGAUCGAUAUAGGUGCGGCCCCGACUCAAACUGACACGAUAAUGACCGAUCGAUAUAGGUGCGGCCCCGACUCGAACUCAAACUGAUAAGAUGAAUGACCGAUCGAUAUAGGUGCGGUCCCGACUCAAACUGACACGACGAAUGACCGAUCGAUAUAGGUGCGGUCCCGACUCGAACUGAACUGAUAGGAAGAUGGCCGAUCGAUAUAGGUGCGGCCCCGGACUCUAACUGACACUGAUGAUGAUGAAUGACUUGGUCAAGUGACCCAAAACCAAAGGAUGACUCAGAUAAUAAUGCAAACAAACUCGAUCGGAGGGGAUAUGCCCCAGUAUGACAACUCAUGCGGAUCGACAACUAGGUCGACAGAUAAUGAAGCCUGUGAAAGGUCCGAUGAUCUCGGAGAAGGAGGGUAUGCCCCAGUAUGCAACUCAAGGGAAUCAACAACUAGAUCAAAAGUGAGUGAAACCGGUGGAAGGUUCAAUGCUCUCGGAGAAGGGGUAUGCCCCAGUAUGCAAUGACGAACAGACAGAGAUGCAAAAUGCCUCAAAACUACUGUACUCUGAAAUAUGCUCAUCCAUCAUGUAAUGAAAAUGUCCAACCUCAAAUAGGUAAUGCCAAACAGGACUAUGUAUAGUGAUACCAUGCUGACUAAACAGAAAUGACUGACGAAUAAAAACAAUGAUGACCAAUGCCCGAAAUGUGAAAAACAAGCAAAUCAACACUCAACAUGCCAACUGUCAAAAUGAAAGCAUCAACACUAAUAAGUCAGCAAUCUGUCAGGCCCUGCCAUCAUGGAAGAUGUUGAACCUAAAGUCCAAAAGAUAUAUGAAAGCACAACCAAGGUGAUCGAGGACUGAUCUACAUCUCCUCAUAAUCGAGAAAGGGGUGAGGUCAUGUGCCAUGGUAAGAUGUGAAGGAUAAAAGAAGGUGAUGGUCAGGCUCCGGUAUGAGAGAAGGUAUGAAAGUAUCCAUGGUGAAACGUCUGAGUAUGAAAUGAAAGGUAGGGAGAUAUCCGAGAUCAUCCAAGUAUGCCGAGAAGACUAAACCCAAGGUGUCGAUAACUCCAUAACCCAUCGUAAGUAGCAAUCACAAACAGGAAGUCAAGCCUCAAUGUCAAAACCUCCAACAAGGUGGCUAUGCCCCAGUAUGCAAUGAGGACAACAUGAAAUAAUCCAAUGAUCUCCCUAUCACUCGUCAGGUGCUCCAAUGUCAAGAACCAAUAUGAUCUCCCUCCAAAAGAUGGACAUGCCCCAAUGUAAAGGAUCCAAAUAGGGUGGCUAUGCUCCAAUGAAAAAUGCUCUCCGUCCCGGCUAUGCCCCAGUGUAAAGUAGUGUAUCCGAGUCAGCAAAUCAAUCAACCUCUACUCCCGGUGCCAAAACGGAAACAUCUCAACAUAAUCCAUAUGAAUCAGAAUCCCCGGGCUCCAUGAAUGUGAAUGCGGUGGCUAUGCCCCAGUAUAAACCAACUGAAGUGACUAUGCUCCAAUGACCAAUCAAAGUCCAUCACCAAUGAGAGGGCUACGCCUCAAAUAAAAUCGUCAUCUCAAAAACCAACCAUCGAUGAGUAGAGUGUGUCCCAAUGCAGAGUAUCGAGUAGAGCGACCGUAUCUCCAAUAAAAACGCCCUCUGAAAUGGCUAUGCCCCAGUAUAGGGUCAUCCCACAACUCCUGAUCCAUCGUAAUCCAAGUGAAGAAGCGAACUGACUAUGCCUCAGUGCAAGGCACCAUCCAGAAAGAAAAUGUCAUCAAUGAGCGGGGUAUGCCCCAGUGUAGAUAACGUCGCCUCUGAAAGUCCAUCACCGAUAAGAGGGGUAUGCCCCAGUGUAAAUCAUCAUCUCAACUCCACAUCCAUAAUGCUCUGAGAGAUAAUCACCGACCAAGCUCGAGUAUUGCCCAUGUGUGAGCCGUCAAACACAAUGUGAAGUAAUGGCCUCAGGGUGGUCUUCAGACAUGGGACGUAACGUAGGGCAAGGUAAUAGGGUGAAAGAAACGAAAGGAAACUAGGCUAAAAAAUCCCAAUGAUACAAUCCCCAUACCCCUCGUGCAUGAUAUGCAAUGCGCAGAAAAUGUCAUGAGUCCCGGACCUAGGGGUCCCCACACGAAAAGUGAUGAUAAAUGAAUGGAUACAUCGAAUAAGCAAGAAUAAAGUGUGGAUGCUGAACCCAUGUCAAACAUCAAACAGAAUGAGAAUAGAAUGAGAUAAGAUGAAAUGGAGUGAAACGGAGGGAUAAAAUAAAGAUGAAAGAAGGCGAAGAGAUAGAAAAAUGAGUGAUGGUCAACCUGCAUCAAAGCAUGGAAAGUAGUCACAUCCGAAAUAGACGGAAUGAUGGAUAGAGCAAGGAUCCAGAGAUACAGAAGAAAAGUCGCUCGCAUCUCUCACAAAAAACGAAUGGGCGAAUCAUACUCUCACCCAAAAUAUACAUCAAGAUGAAUCUAAAAAAUAAGCUUUCAUACGAGCUCUCUCUAUCAUAUGAACUCAAUGAAACAACUUGGCACGUCCAUACACAUGCCUGAUGAAGAAUGAUACAAUGAAUAAUGCGCUAUCAUCAAUCAAUUUUUUUAUUUUUUUAUUUUAUUAUUUUUUUAUUUUUUAUUUUUUUUUUAUUUUUUUAUUUUUUUUAUUUUUAUUUUUUUUUUAUUUUUUUAUUUUUUUUAUUUUUUAUUUUUUUUUAUUUUUUUGCGCGUACGCUGAUCAAUAGUGAAUGAACUCCCAUGAAAAUACAUACCCAAAUGAAUAAACUCUCUCCAUGUACUGAUGUAACAUGAAUCCUCACUAACAAGACAACCUCUCAAAUAAGAUCCCUGGACCAUUGCCCAUAAGGCGAACGGGGGAGGAACGUGACAAUCCUCCAUGCAGUGACGUGUGAAAAACCACCACUCAAGGUGAAACACGGAUAAUGUCGAGUAAGCGAUGAUGAAAGAAAAGACAGAGAACGAAUAUCACAAGUGGUGAUAUAUGAUAUAAGAAAAAUAGUGAUGAAAUGAUGUCCAAGUGGAAAAUAUCACAGUGAAAAGUGAAGAAUGAUGCCUGAAUAUGUAUGUCAGGUUUGGAACUCAUGACGUAUCCAAUCAUAGCAUGCAAGCGCUACAGGGUCCCUAACCCGGUGUAAUAGGUAAAUGAGGUGAUGAAAGAAAAGGCUAUGUGCUCGUGUGAAGCUCAAAGGGCUAGCAAUGGAUAACUCUAUAUGUGAGGGUGAUAAAGUAAAUAGGCUCAUGAAAUGAUGGCCACCCAUCCUUUAACCACAACCUCGAACAUCGUGCUUUUGAGAUCUCACAUGGUCAAUACUAAAGACUGGCAUCCAUCCAACAUAGUCAUGGCGACUCAUCUGAAAUCGCGUAAAAGCCCUCACUGAUGCUCUGUGAUAACCGUCAAUAUCCUCGGAUAAUCACCUCACUCUAUCAUCAUAAUCCACUCACCAUCGUCUCAUAAAAUCACCAUCUCUAAUCAUCCCGACUCUCUGAAGUCAUGUGCAAUGACUCAAAUCUGGAUGCUCCAUGACGUCUCCUCUACCUCAACAACAUCGUCAAACAAUCAAGCCACUCUCUCAUCAUGAUCCAUCUAUCAUCGUGUAAAGCUCACCUCGGGUCUAACCAUCUCGGACUCUACCUGGUCAGAUCCAUGAAAUGAUGGAAAGGAUAGGCAAUGGUACUGUAGCCUGAUAAGGCGAACAGGGAUGGUAAAGUCGUACAGUAAUACCAAAGGGUGGUGUCAUGUCAGGCUCAAAAUGGGUAGGUCAUCAAGUCUGAAAAGGCUAAGGUAUGGAUGUGGGUAUGGUACCACUCUAAUCAGAAGGUGAAAUGGGUCACAGCCUCAAACUCCCUAGGUCGAUCUCCUGAUCCUAGGUCAAUAGACUCAAUAUCCUCCAUGAUAGGUCAGACCCAAGUGAUCGUGAUGUAAGUGAAAGAUGUAUCAUAUCGAAAGCAUAACACGCAUCAACGCAAGAUAUGUAAAACACACUCCCGAGAAAAAUGCCACAAUACUCAAGAUAAAAUAUCAUAUCACUAAAUGAACCAACGAGUACAUCAUGUGUGAAAUGGUAAAGGACUACAAACAACUGGACUCUCAACAUGAAACUAAAAACAAUGACCCUAAACCGAAAACAGGACUCAACAAAACAAAAACAACUCUGAUGAACUGAAAACUGGACUCAACAAAAUGGAAAUGAGUCUGAUGAUGACCAUAAUCAAAAUGAGAAAUGCUCUGAACUGAACUGCUACCAAGUGAUGUACCCAUGUCGACUGACCUAAGUCCUCAUCCUGGAAGAUCCCAGAGCGCCAUAUGCCAACAGUACCAUCAACAUCCAAAUCGGUCUACUGAAGACCAGGAGGAGGAGGAACUGCAUGUGUAGAAUGUGUAGGCAGGGGAUUGGUGGUCACACUUGGCCUAGCCAAGUCAACCACCCCUGAAUCGAUCAAAUCCUGUAUCGCAUGAUGGAGUGCUGAACAACGCUCAGUAUCGUGCCCCGGAAUCUGAUGAUACAAGCAAUGCUCAUGUAAACGGAAAUGAGGAGGAAUAGGAUGGGGCAAAGGCCUCGGUGCCAAAGGAACAAUCACUCCAGCGUCUCUGAGCUUCUCAAAAGCUCUAGUCAAAGUCAUACCCAACGGAGUAAACUGUCUCGCGGGCCUCUGUGCAUAUGGCCUAGGUAGCGGGUGAGUAGUGGCUCUCGGAUGUGGUGGUCGCGGCUGCACGCUAGUCUGAGCAAUGUAAGGCUCCUGAGCAUAAUCCAACUGAUACUGAUACUGUGGAAGAGAGAAAGGAGCUCUGACUGUAGGAGGCCUAUAAGCUGAGUGAAGCGCGGGCCUCCGGUGCUGAUAGCUAAUAACACCAACCUCUCCAGAUCUACCCAAUGGUCCAAUCAGCUUCUUCCCCUUACUGUCAGGGGAAGAAGUAGUAUCUGUCCAUAAUCCUCGAGCAAUGGCCUCCUCAACACUGAAAGCUGCCUGAACCAAACUCCUGAGAUCCUGAAAUGGGAUGCCCACAAGACGUCUCGCGAACCUCGGCUGUAGGUUCCGAAGAACCAUAUCAAUCUGAUCCUGCUCCUUAGGCCGGUCUACCAUACCAGCCACCUUUGCCCUCCAACGAGUGACAAAUGAAGAAAUAGACUCCUCUGGCCUCUGUCUAGUGGCCUCCAACUCUCGUCUGGAUACAUCAAUAUCGGCACUGAAAGCGAACUGAGUCAGGAACUCACGAGCCACGUCUUCCCAGGUGCGGAGUCUCGAAGGCUCAACUGAAGCAAACCAUCUCUGAGCUGCUCCACUAAGUGACAUCGGGAAGAGGGCCACCAACUGCGCAUCAUCUAUACCAUGUGCUCUCAUGACCGUGCUGUAUAGCCUCAAGUGGAUCUUGGGACAACCAAUCCCACUGUAACGCUCAAUGUCUGGCAUGCGAAACUUGGCGGGCAAGCUAGCCGCCGGUAUGCCAUCCCUGUCAUCCCAAGUCAAACCUCCGUCCUGCAAUCUGAUCUGUCUCAUCAUGGACUCAAGCCUCUCAACCUUGGCCUCCUGCUCGGCCAAUCGAGUAUCCUCAAUAGUAGGAACCAUGGGAGGCGGCACUGUGACAGUAGGUGGUGGAAUGGUCUCAUAAUGAUCUGCCAGAUGGAACGGAGUACCAAGUGAAACCCUAGGUGGACGAGUCUGUGCUGUCUGAGAUGCAUGAGGAACUGUCUCAUCAAUGACCAUGCCAACCGGCUGGGGAUCCUGGCGAGAACUCUCUAUCUGAUCCAAGCGCUUACUGACUCCGGCCAUGAACUCCUGAAUGGAAGCGAGUGUGGAAGCUAGCUCGUCUGACAUCUCAACUGAACUGUCUGAACUCAAAUAUGAAUCUGAUCUGAUCAAUCGUCCUCCAACUCUCCUCCAAGAAUGUGACUCCAGACUCAACCGACUCCUAAACUGACUUCCUACAAUGCAAACAAGAUGGAUGAAGGACAUGAGAUGAAACUCUAAAAGACGACAGUACAACAUACAAGCACAUGGUCCAGAGGUAGCAAUCAGAAAUCUGGAUAUAUGACGAGAACUCUGGAGUCAUAAAGGUGUCCACUGUGAGAUGGCUACAAAUGUGACUAGAGAAUUCCUAUCAAUAAUCCAAGAUGAAAGAGGUGUGAAAAACACACUAUCACGAGAUCGGUACUCCAUCAAUAAACAUAUACCUUUAACUCAACUUCCAACCCAAGCUCCAUAAGAGAAAAAAUGAUAGGGUGAUCAAGGCGAAUCUCUCGAAAAAAGUGUGGAUGUGAAAAUGCGCCUUUCACCUUUCCGUAAUGAAAAUAUGAGCAUCGGGUUGAAAAUUGAAUCAAGUAUCCAACGAAGAAAUGAAGUACUCAGCCCGUGAUAGGUGUACAAUGCAAAAACAAGAUGAUCAAUGAACAUAUCCCAAAGUAUCAAGUGAGUGACAACAAAGUGAAGGGGUGUGUCGAGCCAAGAAAUGAGAACGAAAUCCCUAGGGAGAAAACAUGCUAAACUCCUUGAGUAAAAAAACAUAAUCUAAGGUGACAAGGCGAAAGGUGAUCCAACCGAUACUCAAACAAAUAACGAUCUCCGAGUACUCUCAACUGGAGACUAAAAAGAGGGAAUACUGGAUCCGAACUGUAACUAAAGAGGCUCCGAAGGCCCUCAGAUGCACCCACGUGUGAGGAAGGAAGUCCUACUCGAAGGAUCUACGGCUCAACCUACGAGGUCAGGUGGCUCUAAAUGGAUAUGGGUGGACUUUAAAAAAAUCCCGAGCAGAAGCGAUCAUACCCUCCAGCGGUACGCAACCCUCUGCACACCUCAGAAAAGACGGGGCGCUUCCAUGCAAGGUGGACAUCGCAUCCACACAUGCACUACCUCGACAUCCCAAGGGGUUUCCUAUGGUGAAUUCUCUCAAACUCUCAACGCUCAAUAGUCAACUAGAGUGCACAGUAAUCGGUGUGGGUGCAUCCGAAACCCUAAGAAGAUAAAGCAGAAGAUGAGACACACUGGUCGCAUAAAUAUCCAUGAAACCUAGCUCGGGGCUAUACAGGUCUUCAAUGAUCGGACUCUAAUCGACAACAAUGCGCCGCUCGCCUCCAGAAUGCUCCCAAACAUCAGUAUAGCCCGUCGCUGGACCCUACUCCUAACCUCUAUCUCGGUCAGAGUACAAGCACACACAAGGCCUCACACUUGCAAAAGUGAGAACCGUAAUGAAGGAAGUGACCGAGACUAGAGGGUGGGAGACAAGGAGAUAGAUAUGCGACCCACAUAAACAAACGGCACACAAUCAUGCAAAAGGAGGGCAGUCAUGCGACACGCAAUCAAACAAAUCUCAGAUAUAUCAUCAAUGUACACACACAAAAUAAGCGAGAAUACGACGAUCAGAUGAAUAAUGAUACAAAGACAACACGCUUAAAGAUGAUCAAAAUAAUAUACCAACAAGUGGAUCAGCAUGUCGAGUCGAAUGAUAUACAGUGGUGAGUGUAUGCAUGUGAAGUGAUUAGAACAAUCAUGGCAAAAUCAGAGUAAAUGUGCUAAGCAAUGCAAUAUGAUCAAUCAAUAUAAAUCAGCAAUGUCGAUGUAGCAAACAUAUAUAAUCAGUGAAGCACGAAAAAUCACGGCCUCAGAAGCCUCAAUCAGGAUAAAAUCAAUCAUCAUAAUCAACAUGUCAAAAGUCUCGAACAGAUAUAAAAUCCGAGUAUACAUCAAAUAUCCUCAAUGUGCAAUCAAGAAAUGGGUACCCAUUGAUCGUCCAAUCGAAUGCCACGUUUGCUUCAUUCUAAGUUCAAGCUUGACCCUCUAAAAAAAAUCCCCAGUGGAGUCGCCAUUUUGUGGACCCCGCGUUUCGAUCUAUCUCAAUGCGUUUCCCACUCAAUGGCGAGCUCGAUUUUUAUUUUAUUAGAAAAAAUGAUUUUUAUCGAUUAAGAAAAUGACUUGGAGUCGCCACUUAUUUUUGUUUUAUUAUUAAAGGGUAAACAAAAUAAGAAAGAAAAACCCUAAGUGUGACUCCUUAUUUUGGAAAAGGCGGUCUGUGAAAAACCGGAUCGGGUUCGGGGGUCAGGUUACUUCUCGGGAAGGUAUGGUAAAGACCGUAGCACCCCUCUAAGUCCCUAAAGUCGGGUCUCUACUAAUAAAAUGAAGCUGACAUGGCAACCAAUGAGAAAGUCAAUGAAUACCUAGGACGAAUCAUGCACAUACGAGAAUUAAAACAUGCAAAUAAAAUGACUAGGAUGCGAGUGGAUGUGUACCUGGACCGUGAACGAUCAAUGCGCUAUCAUAAAACAGGGUUAGUGAGCAAUGAACAAAAUAUAAUUAAGCGCAUAACAUGGAACAAAAUAAAUCAAACACGCACGAUAAGUAAAUCAAUCAAAACAAUCAAUCAAUCGUCAAUUCACAUAUGUGGGGGCCCCACCAAAGCCCGUUUAUUUUUGCAUGAAUNNNNNNNNNNNNNNNNNNNNNNNNNNNNNNNNNNNNNNNNNNNNNNNNNNNNNNNNNNNNNNNNNNNNNNNNNNNNNNNNNNNNNNNNNNNNNNNNNNNNGGAAAAUGGGAGGUUUUAGGCCUUAAAAAUAAAUCUAAGGAUGAAAUUCGAAAGGCAAAAAUUGUUGAAAGGAUUUGGAAAUUGGCCAUUAUAAAAAAAAAACCAUUGGAGGGAUUAUUAUUAAAAGAUGUUUCAGGAAAAUUAAUUUGAAAAUCAUAGGAACAGGAAGUGGGUGAUUAACACGUGGCUUCCGAUUUACUGCCAUUGCCACUAUACCCACCAUAGUCACCAAGCCCAUAGUCAAUGCCUCCAAGUGCUCGGUAGGAAAUAGGCCCAAAACACUAAGACGUGCCCCAGAGUUAGAGAAGAUGCUGGAGAGAUCUUUGAUCAAGCCACUUCACCAGAUUUAUGGCGAUAGAUCUUUCCGAAGACAUGAAGAACGGUGACAAAGCCGAUAAAGCAAAGGUUCAACACGAGAACCACCGUUGGAGUAAUCUUCAAGCCCGGAUCGUCAUCGGUGUAGAACAAGAGCAUGUUGCUCUCGCUGCUGCCACUGCCGCACCCUCCGGAGCUCUAAAACGACAGUGCGUGUGAGGAGAUUGACAACGACACCGUCGAAGACAACCGGUCUACAUAACCCUCCAACAAGCUUCGUCCUGAAGCUACUUCCGCCGCGGUGCUUUCCACAUGUCGUCCAUACAUCCAGUGACCCGAAUCAGCGCCACCUCGUCCUCAACUCCAACGCAGCUGAAUCUCACGCUGCUGUCCAGUUUGACCUGCGUCGGAAAGAACGACGUUGGGGGCCACGCAGGCAUCGACGGUGAUCUUCGGGAGCCACUGCCCCAGGGGAAUUAUCCUUCUCCGUCCUUUUUUUGAGCCUUCAACACUUUCUACAGCAAAAGUCUCCUCAACUUUUGAUGGCCCCCACAUGUACCAGUUGAGGCUAUUUAUGAAUUUCAUGGUUCAGAUUUGCAUCCAUCUUAUCUGAUUAUUCAAUCUGUUCUAGCUUGACAACGUCCAGAUUAAGCGUCCACUUAUUGUCUUCUGAUGAGUCAAGCUAUAAUAACCAGAUUUCUUUGUCGAUGUCUAUUGAUUCGGAUACCUUCAGCACAACAGAUCAGAAAAACUUGUUGCCUCAACUAUAACCUCAGUGUAGCUGGAGGCUCAUAAUCCUGCAGCUUAUUGAAAAAAAGAUCCAGUGACUAAUCGAAAAACCUGCCCAUCAUAGGUCCGACCAGUUCUUCCUCUAAGCUACUCAACCUGAGACUUGGAGACAUAGGCAAGCUCUGGAGCUUCCUUUUUCCGAUUACUGGAAGCUCACAGAGUGACCUUCCUCAUUUCUUCAUUCUACAACAGCGAACUCUCUUUCUCAAAAGCACCCCAAUCCAAACGGCCAAAUUCAAAACAAGAUGUCCAAUACUCCAAAAGAACACCAAAAAAACAGAGAAGAAAGUGAAGAAAACAGAGUGCGUGCAAGAGAUGAUAAUACCAUUAAACCAAACUUUACUUCAUGAAGAUCGGAGAGCUUAAAACAAUCUGGUGGGUUAAGUGAAUGGUUUUAACACAUAAACAAACAACAUCGACACCAUGUGACUCACACAGGAAUAAACAAAAAUCAAGCAAGCAGGGAUGAAAACAUGCUUAAGAUCUUAAACAGUCAAAAUGAACAUUUCAAAUAUUAGGAAAGGAGUCAAAUAUGGUUGUGAAAAGGAAAAACCUGAAGUCGAAGACAACCAAAAUUUGGAUGACUCCUUUUCUCUCUGUGACUGAAAUCCCACCUUCUCGUUCUACUCCCUGAGCUGAGAACUCUCCUCUCAACUCCAAACUCACUCCAGACCAGCCUCUCUUCACUCUCCCCCUCCUCUCUGACUCUCUCUCUCUAGCUAAACUCCUCUAAGCCUUCCCUCCUCCUCAAAAUAUCUCUAACGGACUCUGAAAAGCACUCCCUACUCCAGCUGCCAGAGACGCUCCUCCAUUCACGGCUUCCAGAUUCCCAUGCAACGUGUCCCCUUUUGAUUGGCUUCCCAAACCACUAUUAUGAUUCUCUCAUGGCUUCUCAGGUGUUGACACGUGGCUGACCAAGGCUCUUCCACAUGGUAAAAUUGAGCUGCAAGGUAGGAAUGACCUAAAAGGGGGUCUACACAUGUCUUCGUAUAUCUUUAUCCAAUUUAAAUAGUUUUUAUAUAUUUAUCUUUAUCCAAUAACUUUUUCCUCCCCUAACCCAAAAUAUUUAUAAUGAUAUUCUUAAUAAUUUUUUUAUUAUAUAUAAAAAAGUCUAAUAUUACAAUAAUAUAUUAAGAGUCCUCGCUCAAUUACAAUACUUAAUUUUUUUCUAAGCAAUUAAUUCUCUAUUCCUCUGAUUUUUUUUUGCUUUUAACUACCAUUGGGCAAUUACAUUUUUAAAUACAAUUUUCAAAGUACACGUUUAUCAUAAUUAUAUCUUUAUCCAAUUUAAAUAGUUUUUAUAUAUUUAUCUUUAUCCGAUAACUUUUUCCUCCCCUAACCUAAAAUAUUUAUAAUGAUAUUCUUAACAUUUUUUUUAUUAUAUAUAAAAAAAUAUAAUAUUACAAUAAUAUAUUAAAAGUCCUCAACUCAAUUACAAUACUUGUUUUUUUUCUAAGCAAUUAAUUCUCUAUUCUUCCGAUUUUUUUUUGCUUUUAACUACCAUUGGGCAAUUACAUUUUUAAAUACAAAUUUCAAAGUACACAUUUAUCAUAAUUAUAUCUUUAUCCAAUUUAAAUAGUUUUUAUAUAUUUAUCUUUAUCCAAUAACUUUUUCCUCCCCUAACCUAAAAUAUUUAUAAUGAUAUUCUUAACAAAUUUUUUUAUUAUAUAUAAAAAAAUCUAAUAUUACAAUAAUAUAUUAAGAGUCCUCGCUUCCUUCCAAUUUUUUUUUUGCUUUUAACUACCAUUGGACAAUUACAUUUUUAAAUACGAAUUUCAAAGUACACGUUUAUCAUAAUCCUGUUAAGAAAUAUAAAGAUAUAUCUUUAUCCAAUUUAAAUAGUUUUAUAUAUUUAUCUCUAUCUGGUAAUUUUUUCCUCUCCUAAUUUAAAAUAUUUAUAAUGAUAUUCUUAACAAUUUCUUUAUUGUAUAUAAGAAAAAAUUAAUAUUAUAAUAAUAUAUCAACUGUACUCGCUCCAUUACAAUACUUAAUUGUUUUCUAAGCAAUUAAUUCUCUAUUCUUCCAAUUUUUUUUGCUUUUAACUACCAUUGGAGAAUUACGUUUUUAAAUACAAAUUUCAAAGUAUACGGUUUAUCAUAAUCUUGUUAAAAAAUACAAAACAUGUUCUUUAUCCAAUUUAAAUAGUUUUUAUAUAUUUAUCUCUAUUUGGUAAUUUUUUCCCCUCCUAAUCUAAAAUAUUUAUAAUGAUAUUCUUAACAAUUUCUUUAUUGUAUAUAAGAAAAUUUUAAUAUUAUAAUAAUAUAUCAACCGUCGCUCCAUUACAAUACUUAAUUUUUUUCUAAGCAAUUAAUUCUCCAUUCUUCCGAUUUUUUUUUUGCUUUUAACUAGCAUUGAGCAAUUACAUUUUUAAAUACAAAUUUCAAAGUAUAUGUUUAUCAUAAUCUUGUUAAGAAAUACAAAACAUGUCUUGGUAUAUCUUUAUCCACUUUAUAUAGUUUUUAUAUAUUUAUUUCUAUUUGAUAAUUUUUUCCUCUUCUAAUCUAAAAUAUUUAUAAUGAUAUUCUUAACAAUUUCUUUAUUGUAUAUAAGAAAAAUCUAAUAUUAUAAUAAUAUAUCAAAGUCCUUGCUCCAUUACAAUACUUAAUUUUUUUCUAAGCAAUUAAUUAUAUAUUCUUCCAAAUUUUCUUUUCUUUUUUUCUUUUAACUACCAUUGGACAAUUACAAUUUUAAAUACAAAUUUCAAAGUACACAUUUAUCAUAAUCCUAUUAAGAAAUACAAAACAUGUCAUAUAUGUUGUCUCUCAUUUUAAUAUUUGAUAUUAAAAUCAUAUUUAUAAUAAUUGAUUAAUAACAUGAAAAGGAUGUAUUCUAGAAGUCCUAAAAUUCAUUAUUAUCACAUAAAAUAAAUAUAAAUUUAAACUCCAAUUUUUGAAAAAUGAUAUUACAAAAUUAUGAUUUAGAGCUACGAUUGGAUGAUAAUUUUGCAAAAAUUUGUGGAGUAAGAGAUAAUUAUGAGUGUAAACAACUCGUGGAUUUGUAUUUGGAUUUGGAUUCAUCAUAUAUUUAUAUUUUUAGGGUUUUGAUAAAACCCUAAAAAUAUUUUGACUCCGAUUUAAUUAUCUUAAAUUGGUUGGACCUGAAAAUAAAUUGAGAAAUAGGCAGGAAUAGAAAAAUACAAGGCAAAGACGAGCUGUCCCAGUGGCGUGGAAAAAACUUCUUAACUUCUCUGAAUAACUGCCAAAUAUCACGAAGGCCCCAACAAACAUACUAUUAUUACGCACUUUGCUGUUGCAGAGUCGCACCUAAAUUCCUCUCAAAUUCCUGCUUCCUCCACCAAUGGCCACUCUCUCUGCCUUCUCUACUCCUUCUCCUCCAUGGCCAAAUCCUAACCCUAGCUCUGACCCUAACCCUAACGCUAAGUCAGACUUGCCUGAUCAUGAGGAGCGGUCGCAGAGAACCGAACUGGAGGAUGUCGAUUCGCCGCCGAAUUCUCGUCCUACUCAAAACUUUAACCCUAACAUCCAGGAUGGUCGUCUGUCUCCAUCGUCGGUUCCGUCUCUUCUCCACAUCUCGUUCAACCAAGACUACGGAUGCUUCGCGACGGGUACAGAUAGGGGGUUUCGCGUCUAUACGUGUGACCCCUUCCGUGAGAUAUUCCGGCGAGAUUUGGACCGCGGCGGGGGGAUUGGGGUUGUUGAAAUGCGGUUAGUGUCUAAUUUGAUGGCCUUGGUGGGCGGGGGCUCCGACCCUCAGUACCCGCUCAACAAGGUCAUGAUCUGGGACGAUUAUGAGAGUCGGUGCAUUGGCGAGCUCUCGUUUCGGUCGGAGGUUCGAGCAGUUCGUCUCCAGUUGGACCGGAUUGUGGUGGUGUUGGAGCAGAAGAUUUUCGUGUACAAUUUCGCGGACUUGAAGCUUUUGCAUCAGAUGGAGACGAUUGCGAAUCCGAAGGGGCUUUGCGCGGUUUCGCAGGUGGCUGGGUCUAUUGUGCUGGUGUGUCCCGGGUUGCAGAAGGGGCAGGUUAGGGUUGAACACUACGCGUCUAAAAGGACCAAGUUCAUCGCGGCCCAUGAAUCCAGAAUUGCGAGUUUUGCGCUCUCAAUGGACGGGCAGUUGCUUGCGACUGCAAGCUCUAAGGGGACUCUGGUCAGGAUUUACAACACAAUGGAUGGGGUAUUGCUCCAAGAGGUACGUAAUAGUUUUUCUCAUUCAGUGGAAAUUCUGAACUUUUAGUGGAUCAUAUGAAAUAGAGCAUCAAAUUUCUCGUUGAAAUGCAAUCUCUUGUUGAAUAUAGCUAUGGAUUUAUGAAAUUUGGUUGAUUUUGUGUGUGGAACUUGGUGGUUUGGAAAUUUCUUAAUUGCAUAAUUGUGGAUGCCCCGUGUAUGCCUCUCUUAGCAUGCCCUCAAAGCCUAAAUGAGAUUCUAGAACUGGGGAUUGAUAUGGUUGAAAUUUUAGUCUUCAGAAUUAUUUUCAUUUCAUAUUAUUUUGAAUUGACAUUGGUGCCUACAUUUUGAGGUGUGACAAAAUUAUCAUCACUCUUAAUUGAGCAAAUAUGUCUUCACAUGCAUAACCCAGCAUGCUGUAAUUGCUCAUAGAUCCUCUGGAAAGAUUGGGAAAUUUUACAUUGCAAUUCAAUCUGCUGCGCAAUUAAGAAACGUUAGGCUCAGUCCUUUGAAGCUGUCAAGCCAAAUAUGUCAGCUGAAUCUGGCCUAAGCUGAACCGGGAAACCUAAGUGGGUUACAGUGAAUUUACUUCUGAGGUGCCAAGUUACCAUGUUUGGGAGAGAAAAUAUGAACUAUUUGUUAGUUCCUCUACUCAUUUGUUGACUAAUUUUUUUUAUAGGUACUUUCCCCUUCUUUGGUCCCCAGUGUGGGACUUGAACUUGGAACCUCCCACAACCCCACCCCAAACCUUUAUGCUGUUGCAUUGUCCCUGCUGUACUAUUGGGUCAGAUUGCUUUUCAAAGCAGGGCCAGGAUGGACUUGCGUGAAGCCCUGGAUGCAGGCUUGCUGCACUUUGGGCUUGUCUAAAGAAAGAAAUAAAGUAGAACAAAUGUGAUCUUUAAGUAUAAGUAGCCUUAGCUCAGUGGCAACUAAACAGGUUGGAUUUUUUUUUAUCGUCAUUUCAAUUCCUUACACCUACAAUAUGAAGUAGGCAUUAUCUGGUCUCAGGCUGCACAUUGUGCUGAGGCAUGCCCAUACAAAGAUGCAGGUAGAGUUAUGGUCUGAAGAUUUGGGCUGAGUUUUUGUGUCUUCAGGCCAAUUUACAAUCACUAAACUCAUGCAGAACAAUUCAUGGAAAAGGAAACAGAGAAUCGAGGAGAGGUUAUCACUAUACUGCCUGUGUCAUUGACCAUAGGAGGUUUGUUUUGUUCUAUGUUCAUUAAACUUUGAUGACAUUUUUUGUUCUAUGUGGAAUAUCAUGAAAAUGUGGAUUUCUAAAGCAAGAUGUUAGUCUCCAUUUCGAACCAUUACCUCUAAUGCACUGUAUCUGAUCAUGGUUUUAUCACAUGUCAUCCAUGUAAUGAAUCAACUGGGCUUGUCCAGUAUUCUUGAGACAAUUGAUCUACAUAAUCUGUUGCUUAAUUAAUUUGGGGAAUCUACAUAAAUCAAUUCCUGCAUUAGGAAAUGUAAGAUUUUUCUUUUUGGUUUUUUUUUGGGGUUUUAAAGAUAAGAAUGUCUCUACAUGCUCCUUCUGGUCUUGCCAAGUGGGGAACUUUUCUUGUUUCUGCUGGGAAUCCAAAUUUACAAUUAUUUUAUCCUGAACUACUUGUAUUCAUGUUUGUUUAUGCUUUUGAGUUCAUAGCAUUGUAGAUAUAUUGCAAAUAACUGGAUAUCUAAUGCAGUUACGAAGGGGUGCUGACAGAGCAGAGAUCUAUAGUAUGGCAUUCUCUUCAACUGCACAGUGGCUGGUAGUCUCAAGUGACAAGGGCACUGUCCAUGUUUUCAGCCUUAAGGUUAAUUUAGCAUCCCCUGGGAAUGACAAGUCACGUGGUGCAUCUAAUUCCAAUCUGGCAGUAGCAUCAUCCACCUCAUCACUCUCUUUCAUCAAGGGUAAGGCACCUUUUCUUCAGUGUAUAGUUGUCUCAGUGAUAUGCAAGUUCUUACCAAAUUAGUGAUCUUGUGAAAUGAAACUCUCACUUUUUUGUCCCUCAAUACUUUUGAUUUGUGAUUUUCUGUCCCUUGUUUUUUACGCUUUUUUUAUGCAAUUGUUUUUCUUUGCUUCCCCUGCAUCUGUCAUUACUUGUUGCUUACUAGGAAGUAAUGAUGGAGAGUUGAUGAGCAAGACCCCAAGAACAAGAUGCAUUAGACAAUGUCAAUGUAUUGACUGUUGAAGGCUAAUAAUAAAUUGUGUCUUUGGCUUAGAACUUACUUGAAUUCUUACUUACAGGAGUAUUGCCCAAGUAUUUUAGCUCAGAGUGGUCAGUGGCUCAGUUUCGCUUGCCUGAAGGUUCUCAAUACAUUGUUGCUUUUGGUCACCAGAAGAAUACUGUGGUAAUUCUUGGAAUGGAUGGAAGGUAAGUGAGCACCAAGCUCAAAGAGGACAAACUUUAUGUAAUCCAAUAUAACUGCUUGUUACUUUGAAAUUUUCCUAUUGGCAUGCUCAAUUUUGACUUUUUAGAAAGUAUACACAUAUAUUCACCAGACUAUCAUCUGGGCUGUGGUUGGAGGGAAGAGUGGCUUCUACUGAACAACAAGCGUUUUUCAAGUUGCUUGUUGAUCAGGAGAGAGCUGCAGACCAUACAUCACAUGCAGUCAUCAGUCUUAGUAAGCUAUUCAUUGUAGAAACAUCUCCUUCUUUCUAGCAUAGGUUAAAACAUUGCAUCUGGAAGGUUGCAUGAGACAUUUUCUUUGACCACUAUAUUUUUAUUUCCCUGAUUCUUCUUUGCCUGCAACCCAUGUUUUUGCCUCUCUCUCUUCCCUCCAUCAGCCCAUGUUUCUUUUUCUUUUUUGUUUCACAUUCAUCAUAACGUUUUCUGUUAGAAAAGAAACUGGAAAUAAAAUUGUUGAUAUUCACUUGAAUUUGAAUGAUUGAAUGCAGCUUCUAUCGAUGUCAGUUCGAUGCAGUGAGCGGUGGAGAGAUGAUUCAGCUGGAGUACCACAACUUCCUUAAACCUGAAAAUACUAUGUAAUAGGGGCUUGGGUUACUUGUACGUUCUAUUUCUGGGCUAUGUAUAUAACAUUCCCUUUAUGGUUUUUAUCUUGCAUUUUACCCUUACCUAUGGAUGGCUACACAAAUCUAUUGUAAGUAUCUCAGUGUAGAUGGGUCACAAUCUAUAUAUACUGAUUAUAGUCAAUAUGAAAACAAAUUAAAGCAAACUUGUGUAGCAACUGUCUUCAUCCUAUUCAUAGUUUAAUUUCUUCUUUUCUGUGAGAUCUGAGUAGUGGCAUGUGAGAUAACAGCGUGUAAAGUUUCAUUCCAGCCUAGCACACUCUUCUUCAACUUCACCUUAUCUUCUCUUCUUCUUCAGUUUUGAUUUAUUUUUAAUUUAAUAAAAUAAUUGUUUAAUGUAUCAUUCAGGGUUCGGUUGUACAUUUUUUUUUUUAAAGAAAAAAAUGUUUAAGUGAGGGAAUACCAAUGGCAGAGUCCUAAAAUAGCUAGUGACAAGGCUCAGACUUCAAGUCCUCUGUGCUUCCCCAUGCCUUUUAUUUCCCUUUGUAUAUUGGAAAUAUAGCCCCCAAAAAAUCAAAUAUUAAAUGAGGAAGAUAAGAAAGAUGACUUAUCGUAGUAACACAAUGUGACAGAAGGAACUAGUAAAAUAUAAAUUUACUAACUAAAUAAACUAGAUGCCAUGUGUCAAAAAAAUAUUAUAGAUUUUGAAAUUGUUUAUCAGAGAUCUCAUUUCAAAAAAAAAAUUUUUUUUAAGUUAGUGAAUUUCUUCUUUUUUGCAUUUUUUUUUCUUUUUUUUUUUUUAUAAAAAAAAUCCCUCAUUUUUUGCCCUUGGAACUUCAAUCUUGCUUGGUUAGCUUAAUUCAAUGGUUUAGGGGUCAGAAAGAGGUGGUGACCAACCUGCAAAUACCACCCAACAAUGCAAUUAUGCAAGAAGAAGGGUCUGAAAGCCUGAAAGCUUGUUUGAUGAUAAACCCCAAAAAAGCUUUGGAAUACAAAGAGUGUUGGGGACAAGAAAUGAGAACGCAUCUCAAGAUGAAAUCUAAGGUCUCCAAAUUUGGUGCACUGAAAACUGUGAUUUUGACUGACUCACCUCUGACUUUUCUUUCUGCAGCAGCUUUGCCCCCAUCCACCCACCCACCCACAUGCCUACCUCCAUCGUCACACCCCACACACCCCCCCUCUAUACACCAUUUUCAUCACGCAAUCAUAGCUUCUUUUCCUUCCCUGAUAUCCCACAAUCAUCAGAUUCAUCACUCUACCUUGGACCACACACCCCUCCCAAGUAAUACAACUUUUUUUUCCCUUUUUACCCCUAUGAAUAGUCAAAGAAUUUAAUUGUAUGUCACAGACUCACAAUCAGCCAUACAGCUCCAAUGUUUCAGAGAGAAAGAAAAAAAAAAAAAAAAAAAGUACAUGGGUGGAGUGUAGCAUUGGGCCUCUUACAUAGACCAUGUGAUACUGAGUCAUAUUUACCUGACCAAAUGUAUAAAAUAAUUAACAAUCCAGAUUCACAUGGCAUAUAUAGAAAUGAAAAUGGCCCCAUUCAUAAUGUUCCUCUGAAAUUUCAUGAUACCAAUGGUGGGUCAAUAUCUGACCACUAAUUGGGGAUUUAAAACUAAUCUUCUGCCAUUAAUUUACAUCUCCAAUGAAUAAACAACUCUCAUUUUAUCAAAAAGUUUUAUUAUAUCAACUCGAAUAAUUAAAAUCCAUCAACUCUAAAUUAUUUUUUUUUAAAAGAAAAAUAAUUUGAGUGUAUGAAAUUAUUUUUUUAAAUUACAAAUUGAAUUGGUAAUUUACCAAUUCAUUUCCAUUAUAGUUAUGAAUAAAUCAUUUCGUAUACCACUAAAUAAACCCAUGAUCUAAGCCUUGAUUUAAAAAAAAAAAAUUCUAAAGUUGGUAGUGUAUACACAUUCAAAUAUAAUCUAUAUUUUUUUUUUACUUUGAUGCAAUUUAAGAAACAAUUUUUUUUUUCCAAAUAUCAAAACUAUUUUUAUUUUUCAUAAUCUAUAUUUUAAAUUAAUUAAGACUUUAAUUAUAAUUAUUUUUGAAAGUUGAUUCUUCUUUCUUUUUCGCAAAGCUCACAAGAGCAUAUAAUUUGAAAAAUAGAAAAAAUAAAAAAGAAGAAGAAAAACAAGGAAUGUUCUUAAUGAAUUUGUGUAGAAAAUUAUUUUAUAUUCAAUAAAAUUUUAAAAAUACUAAAAUAUUUAAACUUUGUUUCCAACUUCUAAAAAAAAUAAAAGAUGUGAUUACAACAUUGAAAAAUGCUUUCUCGAUUUCUAUUGAAAAAAUAGUAUGAAUUAAAUGGUGUCAAAUAUAUAUUUUUAUGUAUUCUUAUUUAAUCUAAGUCCAUAUUUUUUUGUUCAAUAUUAAGCUACAUUACCUUUUCAUUGUCCAAAAAUUAUUGCAAGCAAGAAUAGUAUUUACCUGUGCCUUUUCUUCUUCAUGAAUUCAAUGUGAACAGUAGAGAAGUCCUUUCUAAAGGAGCGGGGCAAGUUGAUUGAAACAAGAGAAUCGAGGUGGACAGCAACUACACGAAACACCACUGCAUAAGAAGCCAACAAACUAGUAUAUAAAGCCCACCAUACCCUCUUCAUUUGCAGUACCACCUCACCAUCCUCCAUUCAUAUUGCCCAUUUUCACCCACCUCUUUCUCUCUCUUUUUCUAUUUUUUCUCACCUACCCUCCUUCUCUUUCUCUCUGCCUCUCAGUUUCUCAGUCUUUCAAUGGCGCUCAAGCUCCAUGGAAUUCCCAUGUCCACAUGCACCACUCGUGUCCUCACCUGUCUCCAUGAGAAAGGCUUGGAUUUUGAGCUUGUCCCUGUUAAUCUCUUUGCAGGUGAACAUAAGCAGCCUCCUUUUCUUGCCAAGAAUGUGAGUCUCACUUCCCUCUUUCUUUCUAAUCAUCCCUCUUUAUUCUCUUUGAAGAUUUUACUUUUCUUUGGGGUUGUAUAAAUUAUGAUUUUCCUUGGUUUGGGUACAUUGUUUUUAGUGUGCAGUCUUGUCGAUUUGAUUUUGGUCUUGGUUUUGUUAUACAUAUAUGCAGCCCUUUGGACAGAUUCCAGUUCUGGAAGAUGGCGAUCUCACUCUUUUUGGUAAGUCCUCGGUUUUAAUCACUUUCCUCAUAAAAGCUUGAAAUUUGUUGUACUGUACUACCAUCAGGAUUGACAGUUCCUGAGAUUUAUUAGCUGCUUGCUUUUGAACAAAAUUUUGCUUUAAAAAAUUAAAGGAGUUUUUCUUACAAAAUCAUGCUAUUUAGUACAACAUACGAGCUGGGUCUAUGAUACUAUUAAGUAUACUAUUGCCCCAGCCUUACUGAAAAUCCCUAGUCGAUGAAGUUGGGUUACUGAAAUUAUGUAUAUGUACCAGAAUCUAGGGCAAUAACAGCAUAUUUGGCCGAGAAAUACAAGGAAACGGGGUGUGAUCUCUUGAGGCACAAUGACCUCAAAGAAGCUGCAUUGGUGAAGGUGUGGUUGGAGGUUGAAUCCCAACAAUAUCAUCCGGCAAUAUACCAGAUUGUGUACCAGUUCUUCGUGUUGCCUCUACAAGGCAAGACGGCCGAUCAGGCCAUUAUUGAUGUAAAUCUGGAGAAGUUGGGUAAGGUUCUGGAUGUGUAUGAGGCCAGGCUGGGCACCACAAAGUGCCUAGCAGGAGAUUUCUACAGCUUGGCUGAUCUUCACCACCUUUCUUACACUUACUAUUUCAUGAAGACGCCAUGGGCUUCCCUCAUAAACAGCCGUCCCAAUGUGAAGGCAUGGUGGGAGGACAUUUCCUCAAGGCCAGCUUUCAAGAAAGUGGCUGAAGGCAUGACUUUUGGUGAGAAGUGAUCGGUUUCUGAGCAGUGUGGCUCUAUGUUUUGGGGUAAUAUUAAUUGUAGUGGUUGCUGCCUCUUAAUUACGUGUAUUUAAGUGUGAGACCACGUAAUAAUUACUGAUUAUGUGUUAUGAUUUGCCCUAAAUUAAUCAGAAAUGUGGAAUUAUCUGGGGUUUCUCAUUGUGGUAAUUAAUCUGCUUGCAACCAGUUUUUGAAAGGGUUUGAUGCAUUUUUACUCCAUACUUUGCUUUAGCUAGGGUUAUGUUGGUGUCUCUAAGGCAUAAUGCUUCCAUUUUUGAGUCAUUGCAUACUCAGAUCAAAGUUUUCAAGACUUGUAGAAAAUGGGUUUUGGUAUUUUCAUGAAAGAGAAUGAAAGGGCAAAUUUCUUCACAAGGCAUGUAGUAAGGGUUUUCCCUUUCAAUCAGUCUUUUUCCUGAGAAACAAACAGAAUGUAUAUCAUGCCGUGUCAUCCACUGUGACAGUUUUCCUCUGAAGAGUUUUACUGCAGUACUUCCUAUUUAUUCCCAUUUUUACUUCCCAAACGAGGUAAACACGUACUGUACUGCAGCUCUGGUUAUUUUCAUCAUCCUUGCUUGUCCAAAGCAGCUUCACUCUUUGAACCUAUUUUUAUUGUUAUAUAUAUAUAUAUAUUAGGUCAAAUUAAUCUUCCAAUUUUCUAACUCUAAGCCCUUGCAAAGAGUUUUUGUAGUAUCAUAUGUAUCUACUAUCAGUCAAGCAGAAACUGGAUAAUGUUCUAUAUACGCUUCAAUAAUUAUGGAUCCAGCAAAGGAGAUCUUUUGUUAUGCUACGGGUCUCUACUAAAAUCUGAGGCUGGAACCCACUUCAAUUAUUCACUCAUUUUGUUCUCAUAGAACCUUCAGCCAUGUGACCCUCACCCUCCAACUAACUUUCAACCACAUCUACCACCUUUCUUUCCUUUUUAUUUUUAUUUUUUAGUUUUGACCUAAUUCCAUCUAACUCUCAAAAUGUAUUCUAAAUCAUGCAUCACAGUCUCAAAAUAUAUGUAGGCCCUUCUCUCUAGAUUCUUGAUUCUAUAGUCUUGUACAACCCAAAUUUCUUAGACUCUAGUCUGAAUAAGCUUGAUAGACAUGAUUGUGCUUAUUAUUUAAUAAUUUAAGUUUUUCUUAUAGUAAUUAAUAGUUUAAUAUGAUAUAAUAAAAUUUCUUAUCUUAAUUAAUUUGUAAAAUUAUCUAGAUGAGAUAAAUAGAUAGUCCUAAUUUUUAACUCCAAAAAUUGAUUUUUUUUCUCAAUUAUAAAUUUUCUUAAUCCAAUGCGAGAUUCAAAUAUCAAAAUAAUAGCUAGUUUCAUAAGACACUUGAUGUAUGUGGAAAACCAUCAACAAUCAUGGGUUUGCAAAACAAAGUAAUUACUAAAUCUAAAAGAAUAAGUACACAAUUUUUAUCAAAAUUUGAUACUAUCUUCUCCCAAGGGUCUUAUGUUGGCACAUAUUUACACUUGUUUUCAUGUUUGAGAUGCAACACCUUAUACCCUUUAGGAAACUCCUCAACUACUUGAUAACAUAUAAUCAACCAUUAUGAUUUGAUCUCAAAUAAGAGUUAAGCGAUUGAAAAUGUAUGUGUAGUGAGUUUGAAAUGAGAAUGAUAGAGAAAUUGAACUUUUUCAUUAGACUUUAAAUGAAGCCAUUAAGGAAGAGAUCCACUCCCAAGAUUAAUUCAAGAUGGGGAUAUAAAAAUGGUAUCUUACCAUAAUGACGUCAUCCAUCAAACUUUAUAUGAAGAAGAUAAAUCCAUUGGUUGAACUCUUUAUAGAGGAAUAAUUGACUCUUUAUCAUUAAACAAUAUAUGUUUGUUUUCAACUUGCAAAGAAUCUUAUUCUAGUGCUAUUAAAAAAAUUCUUAAAUAUUUAAAAAGAAUAAUUAAACUAUGUUUGUGAUAUCAUGCAUACUAACUUUGAUCUAAUUAACUAAUUAAAAGUGGAUUUUCCGUUUGUAAAAGUAAUGGAAAUGUAUUAGUGGUACUUAUAAUGUUUGUUUUCAAUCUUACAAAGAAUCUUAUUUUAGUGCUAUUAAAAAUAUUCUUAAAUAUUUAAAAAGAAUAAUUAAACCACGUUUGUGGUAUCAUGCAUACUAACUUUGAUCUAAUUAACUAAUUAAAAAUGGGUUGUUCCAUUUGUAAAAGUAAUGGAAACGUAUUAGUGGUACUUCUAACUUUCUAGGCCACUCACUAGGUUUUGACAUAGUGAUCGAACCUUUGAUCAAUUGAGUUGUCGUGUGCGAUAUAUUUCAUAAUGACUAAUUGAUGCAUGGUGGUUUAGACUUAGUCUUAAUUGGUUGAGGACUUGUUGAUCAGAUGUUAAUCGAUUAAGGUUCUUGCACCUUAAUGAUUACCUCCAAGUGUACUUUUAUUUAAUAGCAUGUUUCUUAGUCCAUCGCCUAAUCCACUAAUUCAGCUAAAAAUGUGCCUAAGGGCUAGUUUCACUCUAGAACUCUUAUUUAAAACUUUCCAACCUUGAGCAAUCAUUGUAGCAAUUUAUUGAAUGGUUCUCUAGAAUACUCUUAUUCCCAAACUCGCAAGUCUCAUUUAGUCUACCUUAAUCUUAGUUUAUUUAUAUAUUUGAUCCUGAAUUUUGCAAACUAGAAAGCUUACUUUAAGAAAUUCACUCUUGUAUUCAUGAAAGAGUAUACUGAAAUGUAAGGGAUCACUUGAGGGCAUUGCAAAGGCAUAUUGGAAGCUUAAAUAUAAGUGUAAAAAAAUUAAAAGCAAAAUCUUAGCACUAGUGAAUGGACCUCAAGCUUAGAUUGAUGAAAGAGAGAGUGGAUAUAGGAGUUAUAGAACCAUUAUAAGUACUUUAUUGCAUCACUCUAUCCCUAUCUCUAUUAAUUUACUUGCACUAUAUUAAUUUUUAUAAUUUGCUUUUUAAUUUUCUAAAUUUUGCAAAAGAACUAACACCGAAUUCUCCUCCCCUCUUGGGUGUCUUCCUCAAGUGAACUCAACUAAUUUGCUUUUCAAUUUUCUAAAAUCAUGAAUCAAUGUAUCAUAAAGCAAAUCCACUAAUUUAAAAAGAAUUAAUACACGGUUUUACCUUAACCAUAUGUUAUCUUCCCCUAAUAAUCUUACACCAAUCAACACAUCCAUUUGUUUUCACGUUUGCAAUGCAAUAUAUGCUCCUUAGUAAACUCCUUAGCAAUUUGAGAUAAUACAAUCAACCAUCAUAAUUUAUCCUUUAAUUAAAGUUAAGUUUUCAGGAAUAUUGGAAACACACAUGAGAAUAACGACAAUUAUUUUCGAGAGCAUGUUGUUUUUUCAAUAUAAGGAGAAAAUCUUACUAAGUCUAUCCAAAUACAUUAAUUGAAAAAAAUAUAGAAUUAGAAAAUCAUGAAAAAAAAAAAACAAAUGGGUCCAAGGUAAACCGAUGUACUCCAUUUUGUCAUGAAUAUUCACUAAAAAUUACUCAACCGUACACAAGCUUGACACACAACAUUUCCCCACUACGUAAUAGCCAUUAAAUCAAAUGAAAAAUAAAAUCUCCAACGUUAAAUUAAGUUGACACCGUGUGCAUCCCUGGUUUCAUAAUGCAGAGUGAGAUGAAACAGAAUCGAUGCACAAGUACUGGGAAAUAAAAUUACCCAUCACGAGUCUAGAAAAUGGGUUCUGAUAUUUUCACAUAAGACAAUGUUGGAGGAUUCUAGGAAAAGAAAGAGAAUGCGGGAAAGGGAAAAUUCUUCACAUGCCUACAGCAUUUACGGCAUAAAGAACGUUUUCUUUCUCAAAGCAUGUGAUCUUUUUCCUGAGAACCAAACAGAUGGCAAAAGCAAGUUCCUGCUUGUCCAAAAAAACCCUGUACUCAUUGGACUAACAAAGCCUGAAUUAAAUAUGGGCCAUUUCGUACCUUCACCAUGGCCCAUUUCUUGUGAUGUUCUUUUGAAUAAAUUUAAGAAAUUACUGUUAGAAAUCAAAUAGAUUGAAUAAAUAUUUUAAUUUAUAAAAAAAUCAUCUUAAAUAAAUAACAAAUAAUAAAUAGGAGAAGGAAAAGAGAAAGUACGUAUAUUUGCAAUGUUACAUUACCUCACCUUAUCGUUUUCCAAAACUUAUAGUAAGCAAGAAUUGGAUUUACUUCUGCCUUCUAUUCUUCAUCAAUACAAUAUGAACGGUAGAGAAGUCCCUUGUUCUAAAGGAGCCGGGCAAGUCGAUUGAAACAAGCGAAUCGAGGUGGCCUGCAACUACCCUAAACAACACUGCAUAAGAAGCCAACAAACUAGUAUAUAACGCCCACCAUACCCUCUUCAUUUUCAGUACCACCUCACCAUCCUCCAUUCAUAUCGCCCAUUUUCACCCACCUCUUUCUCUCUCUCUCUCUCUCUCUCACUCUCUCAGUUUCUCAGUCUUUCAAUGGCGCUCAAGCUCCAUGGAAUUCCCAUGUCCACUUGCACCACUCGUGUCCUCACCUGUCUCCAUGAGAAAGGCUUGGAUUUUGAGCUUGUCCCUGUUAAUCUCUUUGCAGGUGAACAUAAGCAGCCUCCUUUUCUUGCCAAGAAUGUGAGUCUCACUUUCUUCUUUCUUUCUAAUCAUCUCUCUUUCUUCUCUCUGUAGAUUUUGCUUUCUUUGGGGUUGUAUAAAUUAUGAUUUUCCUUGGUUUGGGUACAUUGUUUUUAAUGUACAGUCUCGUCGAUUUGAUUUUGGUCUUGGUUUUGUUAUACAUAUAUGCAGCCC